UGAGUACGAGACGCUAAGGCGUCGAAGUAGUGUAUGUCAUACUUCCAAGAAAAGCUUGCACUGUCAUUCAUAAAAAAUGCCUGUACCAUAACCGACACAGGUGGGUAGGUAGAGUAUACUAAGGGGCGCGAGAUAACUCUCUCUAAGGAACUCGGCAAAAUAACUCCGUAACUUCGGGAGAAGGAGUGCCUUAUUUAUAUAAGGUUGCAAUAACAAGAUCCAAGCAACUGUUUACCAAAAACACAGGUCUCCGCUAAGUCGUAAGACGAUGUAUGGGGGCUGACGCCUGCCCAGUGCCAGAAGGUUAAAGAAGUUGGUUAGCAAUAGCGAAGCUGAUAACUGAAGCCCUGGUGAACGGCGGCCGUAACAAUAACGGUCCUAAGGUAGCGAAAUUCCUUGUCGGGUAAGUUCCGACCCGCACGAAAGGCGUAAUGAUUUGGAUACUGUCUCGGAGAGGGACUCGGUGAAAUAGACUUGUCUGUGAAGAUGCGGACUACCUGCACCUGGACAGAAAGACCCUAUGAAGCUUUACUGUAACUUGAAAUUGAAAUUGGACUUUAUUCGCGCAGUAUAGGUGGGAGGCGUUGAAAAUAAUCUUGCGGGACUAUUGGAGCCAUCAGUGAGAUACCACUCUUAUAAUGUCAGAUUUCUAACUUUGAAUCAUUAUCUGGUCAAAGAACAGUUUCAGGCGGGCAGUUUGACUGGGGCGGUCGCCUCCCAAACGGUAACGGAGGCGUACAAAGGUUUCCUCUGAACGGGUAGAAAUCGUAUCUAGAGUAUAAAGGCAAAAGGAAGCUUGACUGUGAGACCUACAAGUCGAGCAGGGACGAAAGUCGGUCUUAGUGAUCUGACGGUACUGAGUGGAAAGGCCGUCACUCAACGGAUAAAAGUUACUCUAAGGAUAACAGGCUGAUCUCCCCCAAGAGUUCACAUCGACGGGGAGGUUUGGCACCUCGAUGUCGGCUCAUCGCAUCCUGGGGCGGUAGUACGUCCCAAGGGUUGGGCUGUUCGCCCAUGAAAGCGGUACGCGAGCUGGGUUCAGAACGUCGUGAGACAGUUCGCUCCAUAUCCGGUGUAGGCGUUAGAAUAUUGAGAGGAGCCUUCUUUAGUACGAGAGGACCGAGAAGGACAUACCUCUGGUGUACCAGUUAUCGUGCCAACGGUAAACGCUGGGUAGCUAUGUAUGGAGUGGAUAACCGCUGAAAGCAUCUAAGUGGGAAGCCCACCUCAAGAUGAGUAUUCUC
This 1244-nucleotide ribosomal RNA is filed under the name metagenome. RNAcentral describes it as "bacterial LSU rRNA". It matches the Rfam family "Bacterial large subunit ribosomal RNA", at positions 1564 to 2815 of the family's 2925-position model. The record is from RNAcentral.